Molecule: ribosomal RNA, 468 nt
Filed under: uncultured bacterium
Lineage: Bacteria
Description: partial 16S ribosomal RNA
Rfam family: Bacterial small subunit ribosomal RNA
Source: RNAcentral
GACGAACGCUGGCGGCGUGCUUAACACAUGCAAGUCGAACGGAAAGGCCCUGCUUUUGUGGGGUGCUCGAGUGGCGAACGGGUGAGUAACACGUGAGUAACCUGCCCUUGACUUUGGGAUAACUUCAGGAAACUGGGGCUAAUACCCGAUCGGAGCUCCUGCUGCAUGGUGGGGGUUGGAAAGUUUCGGCGGUUGGGGAUGGACUCGCGGCUUAUCAGCUUGUUGGUGGGGUAGUGGCUUACCAAGGCUUUGACGGGUAGCCGGCCUGAGAGGGUGACCGGCCACAUUGGGACUGAGAUACGGAGCAGACUCCUACGGGAGGCAGCAGUGGGGAAUAUUGCACAAUGGGCGGAAGCCUGAUGCAGCAGCGCCGCGUGCGGGAUGACGGCCUUCGGGUUGUAAACCGCUUUCGCCUGUGACGAAGCGUGAGUGACGGUAAUGGGUAAAGAAGCACCGGCUAACUACGUG